Molecule: ribosomal RNA, 212 nt
Filed under: uncultured bacterium
Lineage: Bacteria
Description: partial 16S ribosomal RNA
Rfam family: Bacterial small subunit ribosomal RNA
Source: RNAcentral
UACGGGAGGGCAAGCGUUGUCCGGAUUAUUGGGCGUAAAGAGCUCGUAGGCGGCUUGUCGCGUCGUCCGUGAAAACCUGCGGCUCAACUGCAGGCUGGCGGUCGAUACGGGCAGGCUGGAGUUCGGUAGGGGAGACUGGAAUUCCUGGUGUGAGCGGUGAAAGUGCGCAGAUAUCAGGAGGAACACCGGUGGCGAAGGGCGGGGUCUCUGGG